CCCUUAGAUGUCCUGGGCUGCACGCGCGCUACACUGGAAGUUACGGAUUGAGAUACUACCUUGUCCGAAAUGGUCCGGGUAAUCACCUAAAAGCUUGUCAUAAUUGGAAUGGAUUAUUGUAACUAGUAAUCCUGAACGAGGAAUUCCUAGUAAGUCCCAGUCAACAGCUGGUACUGAUUACGUCCCUGCCCUUUGUACACACCGCCCGUCGCUACUACUGAUUGGACGUUUAAGCAAGAUCUUUAAACACUGACAGUGUGUAGUUCACGCUAUACUACAGUGAGAAGAAGAAGAUCGAGCUUACUUGUCUAGAGGAAGUAAAAGUCGUAACA
Molecule: ribosomal RNA, 332 nt
Filed under: uncultured eukaryote
Lineage: Eukaryota
Description: partial 18S ribosomal RNA
Rfam family: Eukaryotic small subunit ribosomal RNA
Source: RNAcentral